RNAcentral lists this non-coding RNA (885 nucleotides) under Pongo abelii (Sumatran orangutan). The record is from RNAcentral. Lineage: Eukaryota; Metazoa; Chordata; Mammalia; Primates; Hominidae.
GGCCGCGCCGCCCCGCCCCGCCCUACCUGGGCGGGGUUGGGACCUUUCUGGCACCUGCAUCGAAGCCGGCGGCAGGGUGGACUUCGUUGUCCCGGUCCCAGACUACCCUCCUCCACCGCCGCCUCCCACUGCAAAAGGGCCUAGAUAAGGAACCUAAUUCGAGCUAUCCUUCUCUGUGAAGUCCGACGGCUGAGAACGUCAGGGCUCGUUCCCAGGUCUCUUUCCAGAGGCUAAGCUUUAUGCGAGCAUGGGUUACCAGCGAUGCAUCCUGUGAGGAUGCAGUAUCCAAGGCACCAUCUUGAACUCAUUAUCGCCAAAUAUGUCAGCACCUUGAUGUUGGACUUCCCAACCUCCAGACCCUGACAGGACUUCCACACCCAUGCUCCUCUCGGCACCUUUCACCCAGCCCAAGCAGCGGCGGCCCAGUGGUGGAAAAGGCGCCAUGGCCAAACGGAUUGGAGACUCACCCCACAUUCUAGGCCAGAGAAGCGGGCGGGCUUGGGAUGCCGGCAGGAGGCAAUGACUCUCCCCAGGCGCUGCAUCCUGGCUCCGGGGCACAGGCGCCUCUCCGCCCUGACGCUGAUGCUCGUCUGGCUGCCCGUUCUUUGGUAUCAAAAUACCAGACGAUGGUGGCGCACCCUGUGGCCUGGGCUGCCUCACAUCGUUCGGUCCCGCCCAGAAAGACCAGAGGACCAGAAAACCAGAAGACUGUCAGAGCGACUAGAAGCUGGCUCCUGCCAACAGCCGCGCGCCUCAGCCUCCACGAGGGUUACCUGGGUAACGCGCCGCUUGGGCUCGGCGCCCAGCCGAUGACGUAGCCCGCGCUUGCAUAGUGGCGCCGCCCGGAUGUGUGGGCUCCAGGCCGCCACCCCCAAACACCAGCCC